Orbicella faveolata is the source of this 3173-nucleotide long non-coding RNA. Lineage: Eukaryota; Metazoa; Cnidaria; Anthozoa; Scleractinia; Merulinidae. The record is from RefSeq and is a predicted model, not a curated record.
UAAACCAGACAAAAAGACUUGUCACAAACCUUCACAAAAAAUCUACAUGUAGGAAUUCAGUAAUUAAAUUAAAGACCAGCUAUAGGUGACAGAGUAACACCAUAAGAGUAAAACAAUUUUGGAAAACUUUGACGCUUGGCUUGCUACAGCACAAUGAUUUGCAUAUAAAAAUCAUCUCACUGACAACUGAUGGACUGGAUAGCUGGCACAAUCAAGUUAAUAAAGCUAACAACAACAACAAAACAUCAUUCCUUUUUCAACUUCAUUCAAAAAUUUUUGUAAUGACUUAUAGUACACUAUUGUGGUUCAAGAAGGUUAGGCAACUUCUUCCGCAAAUAACAGUUUCAACAAAACAGAGAGAGACAAAACACAACCGCUACAAAGGCACAGAAAAAUGAGUAACCAGAAUUGAACAAGUAACAUUUAAAUGAAACUGGAAAGGUCAAAACAGAUGCUCAGGAGCUAUACUGGAUGGCGGAAUAAGAGCAUAAGUUAAUGUCUACAGUUUGCAAGGAAAACAAUGUGAAAGCAGACACUGAUAGUAAGAUCACUUUUAUUUGAAUCAGGAAAUGAGCAAUGUGAUAUGAAGUACAAUUAUUGUUCCUGAAUUGAUGAACCAGUGAAGGUUAAAUGUAUUGACCUAGAAGGAAACCCUACAUGAACUAUCAAAUCCUCUUUGCUUUUCAUAAUAAUGAGGUUGAGAUUUUUUCAAAACUAAAUUUCAAUUUCUCUUAAAGUUUAAAGAAGAUCAGCAACAACGACCAAAAUAGCAAAACCUAAGAAGUUCUCUUCACAGCAACAAAAUUGCUAUGGGAAGAAAUAUUCCAACCAAACUAAACUAAAUAUAUGUUAAGAGAGUCAAUUCGUUGUACAUGUGUAACUGUUGCAGGGAGUUUAGUGCAGUUAGGGUGGUGUAGGCAAAUUAAAACACUGCUAGGAAUUCUUGGAAUCAGCAACAAUCUUAGGUUUAUAUCAAAUACAGGAAGUCAGAUCAAAUAUGCAAGUUAAGAUUCCAUGAUCAGGAGAAAAGCAAUCAACUUUUUUACUUGGUGUACUCACUAACUACUGUAGUCAUAACUGCAAGUUAAACAGAUCUAUAACAUCUUUGCAUUUCAGCAGUUAAGAGGAAUUAAUUUGAAUAGCAGAUUAAACAAAGCCUGAUGCAGUGAUGAAAUGGUGGUGUAUCUUUCUCAUGCUCAUCUGGUGCAUGGAUAAUCUUUUAGCCAGAUGCUACUGCAUAAGCACAGAAAACAACACAGAAAGGAGGGUUAUCUUCAUGGAUUGCACUUGGUUUUGCAUGAAGCAUAAAAGUUCCCUCACUUAAAUCCAGUCUACAUUCUUGGAUAUAAAACUAAUAAACUGCACCUGGUUCACCACUAUAUAGCUAUCAACAGUAUUUUUACAGGCAGAGGGUUGUAAGGAAAAGUCAAAAGACCUUCAUUGAUAUAGGAAAAGUUAACCAAAAGGAAAAAAUCUCUGACACGAGGAAAAUCACUGAUACAAAUUCGAUGUUUGGUUGAUGACAGAAUAAAUGUUACUUCAGCUGGAAACCACAAAUCAAGUGUUUAUGAGCACAAAUGCAUAUAACAGCCUUUACCACACCACACUAUCUUGUAUCUGAAAUGGCCUGCAAUGAAAAAGUCAUCAUGUGUGGAUUUAAGCCACUGCAGGUCUUUAACAGACUUGUAAUCAUUAAUAGUCUGGUGAGAAUAUUCAUCUUUAACACAUGUGUCUGCAACAGCAACGACAAGUUGUAUCGCUGUGCAGUUAUUUUGCUAUUUUGCAGAUAAAACAAUGUUGAAAAUUCAUCAUACUUCUUAAAUAGUUGUGCAAAAAUUGUAGAGGCCACUGAUCUUAACUCACAUCAAGAUCUGAACGAGAGCAGUCAUAGCCGGAUGAAAUUUUACUGUUGAUCUUCAUGGCUUCAUUUUUAUCAAGCACAGAGAAACCUCAAAGGAAUGUCAGGGGGUCACAGUGGAGUAACAGUUGUUUCAAGUUACUCAGCAUAUGGGAUCAAGAAACCGCUUUUAGAGGCUCUUGGAAGUUCUGAAAUCUCCACAAGGCUUAUCUACAUCCUGUUAUGACUUAUUUAGGCUCACAAUCUUAGCUGAGAGAAAUGACGCAGAGAUCAGUGACAUACCAAGGUCGAAUUGCACAUUUUCGUGUAACCUGAAUUAUCUUGUGGUUACAAGAUGGCAACAUCAACCAUUACAACUCUUCUUGACCAAGAUAUGGAGACCAGAAAGGCAUUCAUGUAGAGAUGCACAGGUGCUGUUCAGACAACUACACUGAUUUGCAACAACAUUCAGAUGUUUUGAUGAGAUUGACUUAUCUGUUUACUGCUUAUGGACCUAUUGGAAACUAUGUUUAACGCAGGAUGGUAAACACAAGUUGAAGUGACAGUAACUUAUUUUAUCUUUAUUUCUUGCCAGUAUAUGUAAAUUUUACAAAUUCAAAUGAAAUUAUGAAGUUAUGAAAGCUGGAAAGCCUGUAUUUAACUAAUGUCACUCUUGAGAAAACUGGCUCAAUGCAAAGUAUACACCAAGACACUUCUUGUUUAACUUUUCCAAGAUCCUGAUGCAGGUAAAAUACCAAAAAUGUCAAUAACUGAUUUAUUUUUCAAGUCGGAACAGCCUGCAGGAAGUCAAAAAAGCUGCAAAGCAACUAGCUGUAACACAAUUACCACUCAAAAAAAUUGUAUUUUUAUGGUCUAAACAUAUGCACAGUUAAUAAAGUCAAAUUUCACCUGACAAAACAUCAUCUGCCAUGAAAAUGGCAAUAAAAUGUGUGAAAACCUUUUGAUGCGAUGAGUAAAUCUGCGUUGUCGAUGAACCGAGCGAUGCUGAAUAAGUGAAAUUGUCUAUAAAGUUAACUAGACAUACACUGCACUUGUUCAUUGAAUGAAAUCAACCAUGUAACGUAGAGGUGUUUGAAACACGCGCUUGUGGGCACCCGACUUACAAGUAGACCCAUGAAUUGGCCAUAAUUUUACAGUGGGUAUGUAUCAACGACUUAGUUUAGUUGCUGGCCAUGCUACCAAGUUAAAGGUUUCACAGCCGUAAAACUCUCGGGGAGGGUGGGGCUAACGCCAGUAAGCAUGUUCACUCACAUUAUCAUAUCUUCUAUUUGGCAUGAACAAAGGAUGAAUGGCAACAUUUUUCCAUGAAAUAAAA